Long non-coding RNA from Arachis duranensis, 997 nucleotides. RefSeq lists it as uncharacterized. The transcript is spliced from 4 exons. The record is from RefSeq and is a predicted model, not a curated record. NCBI's taxonomy places the organism in Eukaryota, Viridiplantae, Streptophyta, Magnoliopsida, Fabales, Fabaceae.
UCUUUUGUCCACCUUGGUAUUGCCCUCUCCUCUGCCCCAAUUUAUCCUAAACCACCCAAUUUGCCCCUCUUGUUAUAUCUUCCCUUCCUUGCAUCAUCUCAGCCCCUUUCUUUCCUCCGAGCUUCUCUCUUGUUGAAUUAGUAGGUCAAAUCCUCACCUUGCAUAGGAAAUCAUGGGGUUUAUCAUUGUGUUGGAGCUCGUCUACGCCAAAUUCAGGAAAGCUCCCCUGCAUCCCAGAUCUGCCUAUUCUUCCUCUUGUUGUCGUCGCUCAUAGAUCAGUUUGAGCAUGACGGCAACAGGUAGGGUUGGAUUGCCGAUGCCUGAGUCACCACUACCAGGUGCUAAUUCAAUCGCUUCGGAUGCCUUUAAGGGCAACAAAGAAUGAUGUUCAUGAGUUCUUAUCUAAUACUGGCAAGGUAAGAAUGGUGAUGGUGAUAUUAUGCUAUGAAAAAUUUUAGGAGCUGCUUGUAUGUGAAAGAAUCUCUGCUAUAGAUAUGUAGAGGAGAGGCAGAUCAAAGGAAAGCACAAAUAACAAAGGUCAUGACAUUUAUUGAUUCAUUGAAAUUAGGUCUCACUUUUUGUUUUGAAUUAUUCUAAGUUUCUUACAUAUAUAAAGUUCAAAGUUUAUUUCUUCUUGUUGCUUUGUUUCACUAUAUUUCUUUUCCGCCUUUGUAUACUUUUUUUUUGUUUGCAUGCAGUGCACAGAUCUUUAAUGAUUGAGCUCAUAUUCAUUAGUGUAUGAUUCCAGCCUUCCAAGAGACAUUGAAAGUCUUCACUUACAAUGUUUAGCUCUAGCUAGUGAAGUUGCAUAGGAAGUUGAAAGCUACUAACAGCGUAGCCAAUCCUUUGAUCGAGCACACAAUGAAGUGUUAAUUCUAAGUAUUUGAACUUAUAUUAUCUUUUGUAUAUUUUGUUAUUUUGUGUUGUUGAAUUCUUUUGCUCUAUUCUAUAUGUAUGGAUGUUGAAUUUAUUUCAUUAUGUAAAAGAAAAUAUCUUU